CCUACGGGAGGCAGCAGUGGGGAAUAUUGCACAAUGGGGGAAACCCUGAUGCAGCGACGCCGCGUGGGGGAUGAAGGGUCUCGGAGUGUAAAGCCCUUUUAGCAGGGAAGAAAAUGACGGUAACUUACGAAUAAGCACCGGCUAACUCCGUGCCAGCAGCCGCGGUAAUACGGAGGGGGCAAGCGUUACCCGGAUUCACUGGGCGUAAAGGGGGCGCAGGCGGGGAUGGAAGCCAGGAGUGAAAGCCCGGGGCUCAACCCCGGGACUGCAUUUGGAACUGUGGGGCUAGAGUGGAGGAGAGGUAGGUGGAAUUCCUGGUGUAGCGGUGAAAUGCGUAGAUAUCAGGAGGAAUACCGGUGGCGAAGGCGGCCUACUGGACUGUAACUGACGUUGAGGCACGAAAGCGUGGGGAGCAAACAGGAUUAGAUACCCCUGUAGUC
This 440-nucleotide ribosomal RNA is filed under the name uncultured bacterium. Its description in RNAcentral is "partial 16S ribosomal RNA". It matches the Rfam family "Bacterial small subunit ribosomal RNA", at positions 338 to 795 of the family's 1533-position model. The record is from RNAcentral.